CCGAGCGCUGCCUCCGGGCAACCUCCAACCCCCUGUAUACGAUACCACUGUUGCUUCGGCGGGCCCGCCCCCCCGGGGGCCGCCGGCGGUAAGCUGGCCAGCGCCCGUCAGAGGACCCACAAAACCCGAGUCGUGUGUUGUCUGAGCGUGAUUGAGAAUAAGCUA
Molecule: unclassified non-coding RNA, 165 nt
Filed under: uncultured Helotiaceae
Lineage: Eukaryota; Fungi; Ascomycota; Leotiomycetes; Helotiales; Helotiaceae
Description: sequence contains ITS1
Source: RNAcentral